UUUACCUGCUUAUUAUUUUUUUUCCCUUUUGGUCUUGUCAUAGCUGGAAGGUAUCAUCCUAAAACAUUUUGUGAGAAUGAGAAUUAUUGGUAUUUACUCUCUCCAUGUCAUAUGUAUUUAUAUUCUGGUCUUGUGACAUUCACACAACCUCCAAUUUAUUUGUUUUCUUCUUUUUGUUGUCAACAGAGCUGCUUGACAGGGUUGUCUGGGGAAUACAACCUUACCCUGUCAAAUGCCUUUCAAUGUUUUUCUUCUCCUUCCUUACCCCCGUUUCAUCGUGUACCUGCAAUGGGACUCUAUUUCUGUAAAAGCAAGAUAAAGGAACACAAAAUGUACUCUUUCCCUAAUUGGAUAAAGUGAGAAAGGAUAUUAGAAAACCACCCAAUGGAACUGAUAAAAAUGAGUUGGAACUUGUGACCAGCAGCUGGAUGAGAGGAGUGUGAAUCCCCCAAAUCUUAUGGAUAUAGUGUGCUUUCUUUGAUGUUCCUGCCAAAGUGAGGCUGGAAAGCUAGGAAGAUCUGUAAGACGUGUGCCAGCACAAAGUGACUACAAUUCAAAAGUUCCAAAAACCUUGCUUGAAACAAUUGCAAAUAGCUCAUCAUUUUAAACCAGUGAACCCAAGGCUGAGUGUUUCAUCAAUUUACAGAAAACCAAGAAGAGAAAUCUGACAGCUAUCCCAGUGUAUGACUUACCAUGGAGAUCUUCAAAUAGAAUCACUUUGGUUUGGGUCUCAUUUUCAUAUUAUAACACAAAUUUGUGUAUGUGGGUUAAGAUUCAUAUUUGAUAGGAACUGCUGGGAAUUCUUGCAGUUAUAUCCUCAAAAGACAAAAUAAGCAUAACCAACAGAAUUGUGAAGCAAUAAAGUUGAUUAUGGAUGAAAACUGGGCUGAACAGUCAUAGGACAUGACUUGUUCCUUUGACCUAAAAUGUGCUUUUCUUUCCUUAUCUACCCAGUGUAAUGGUACUACUCUUUCAACCAUCUUGAAUUCACUCACACUUAUUCGUCAAAUCCUGCUCAGCUAUUCCCACUACCCACAAAGUGUACCUUUUUCGUAUUCCUUACUUUUUAUACAUUAGCUCAUUUUCCCCCAAACAAUGCAAUAAAGUAAAAAAUAUUACUCUAUUUUAUAGAAACUUGCAGCUCAGAAAGGAUAAGAAACUUGCAAGUUGAUCCAAAAUAAAUUUCUAAAAAGCA
This 1195-nucleotide long non-coding RNA is filed under the name Homo sapiens (human). RNAcentral describes it as "HSALNT0367297". Lineage: Eukaryota; Metazoa; Chordata; Mammalia; Primates; Hominidae. The record is from RNAcentral.